GCAAGCUUUAAGUCCACGCAGAAAGCAGUAGUAAGGAUUCUCUAACGUUCGACUGGACGUCCACCAUCUGUUUCUGUUGGUAACGUUGUGUUCCGGGCUACUUUCGUGCAAGCUGUGAGCACAUUUUGGUCCAAUGUCGCCUCCAGUGAGUUAGUGCCUUAUGACCCCAACAGCCCGCCGCAGAACUCAUCUUCUUGUACGUACGACGAUUGUUCCUGCUCAUCAAGCCAAUGUGCUUUAGCCAUUCGUGUCACAGGGCAUCGUAUGCUGCUACAGCUGCUGGUUGUGCUGUUUGCUGCUGUUCUGUACUAUCUGUAGCACAGGUUCUCAUACUGUUCUGUAGCACAGGUUCUCAUACUGUUCUGUACCAUCUGUAGCACAGGUUCUCAUACUGUUCUGUACCAUCUGUAGCACAGAUUCUCAUACUGUUCUGUACCAUCUGUAGCACAGGUUCUCAUACUGUUCUGUACCAUCUGUAGCACAGGUUCUCAUACUGUUCUGUACCAUCUGUAGCACAGGUUCUCAUACUGUUCUGUACCAUCUGUAGCACAGGUUCUCAUACUGUUCUGUACCAUCUGU
Long non-coding RNA from Physella acuta, 579 nucleotides. RefSeq lists it as uncharacterized. The record is from RefSeq and is a predicted model, not a curated record. Lineage: Eukaryota; Metazoa; Mollusca; Gastropoda; Physidae.